Molecule: ribosomal RNA, 468 nt
Filed under: uncultured bacterium
Lineage: Bacteria
Description: partial 16S ribosomal RNA
Rfam family: Bacterial small subunit ribosomal RNA
Source: RNAcentral
GACGAACGCUGGCGGCGCGCUUAACACAUGCAAGUCGAACGGAAAGGCCCUGCUUGCAGGGUGCUCGAGUGGCGAACGGGUGAGUAACACGUGGGUGAUCUGCCCCUUACUUUGGGAUAAGCCUGGGAAACUGGGUCUAAUACUGGAUAGGACCAUGCUGUAGGUGGUGUGGUGGAAAGAUUAGUUUCGGUAAGGGAUGAGCUCGCGGCCUAUCAGCUUGUUGGUGGGGUAAUGGCCUACCAAGGCGUCGACGGGUAGCCGGCCUGAGAGGGUGGACGGCCACAUUGGGACUGAGAUACGGCCCAGACUCCUACGGGAGGCAGCAGUGGGGAAUAUUGCACAAUGGGCGCAAGCCUGAUGCAGCGACGCCGCGUGGGGGAUGACGGCCUUCGGGUUGUAAACUCCUUUCAGCCAUGACGAAGCCCUUGUGGUGACGGUAGUGGUAGAAGAAGCACCGGCUAACUACGU